GAUGAACGCUGGCGGCGUGCCUAAUACAUGCAAGUCGAACGCUGGAACUCUAGCUUGCUAGAUUGAAGGAGUGGCGAACGGGUGAGUAAUACAUAAGCAACCUACCCACGAAGACUGGGAUAAUCUCUGGAAACGGGGACUAAUUCCGGAUAGGUAAUCGGAAGGCAUCUUCUGAUUAUUAAAGGUUAAAAACACUGGUGGAUGGGCUUAUGGCGCAUUAGUUAGUUGGUGAGGUAACGGCCCACCAAGACGAUGAUGCGUAGCCGGCCUGAGAGGGUGAACGGCCACAUUGGGACUGAGACACGGCCCAGACUCCUACGGGAGGCAGCAGUAGGGAAUUGUCGGCAAUGGGGGAAACCCUGACCGAGCAACGCCGCGUGAGUGAUGACGGCCUUCGGGUUGUAAAGCUCUGUUGUAAGGGAAGAACGGUAGAUAGAGAAUAUCUAAAUGACGGUACCUUACCAGAAAGCCACGGCUAACUACGUG
This 486-nucleotide ribosomal RNA is filed under the name uncultured bacterium. Its description in RNAcentral is "partial 16S ribosomal RNA". It matches the Rfam family "Bacterial small subunit ribosomal RNA", at positions 28 to 507 of the family's 1533-position model. The record is from RNAcentral.